This 455-nucleotide ribosomal RNA is filed under the name Sarcopodium circinatum. Its description in RNAcentral is "eukaryotic LSU rRNA". It matches the Rfam family "Eukaryotic large subunit ribosomal RNA", at positions 109 to 577 of the family's 3401-position model. Lineage: Eukaryota; Fungi; Ascomycota; Sordariomycetes; Hypocreales; Nectriaceae. The record is from RNAcentral.
UCAAAUUUGAAAUCUGGCCCCAGGCCCGAGUUGUAAUUUGCAGAGGAUGCUUUUGGCGCGGUGCCUUCCGAGUUCCCUGGAACGGGACGCCACAGAGGGUGAGAGCCCCGUCUGGUCGGACACCAAGCCUUUGUAAAGCUCCUUCGACGAGUCGAGUAGUUUGGGAAUGCUGCUCAAAAUGGGAGGUAUAUGUCUUCUAAAGCUAAAUACCGGCCAGAGACCGAUAGCGCACAAGUAGAGUGAUCGAAAGAUGAAAAGCACUUUGAAAAGAGAGUUAAAUAGCACGUGAAAUUGUUGAAAGGGAAGCGUUCAUGACCAGACUUGGCCCGGUUGAUCAUCCAGCGUUCUCGCUGGUGCACUCUGCCGGUCCAGGCCAGCAUCAGUUCGUCGCGGGGGACAAAGGCUCCGGGAAUGUAGCUCCCUCCGGGGAGUGUUAUAGCCCGCUGCGCAAUACC